This is a non-coding RNA of Lonchura striata (white-rumped munia), 264 nucleotides long. NCBI's taxonomy places the organism in Eukaryota, Metazoa, Chordata, Aves, Passeriformes, Estrildidae. The record is from RefSeq and is a predicted model, not a curated record.
AACUGUGGCUGUUUUAAUGUGUGCAUGUGCAGUGGGAAGGAAGUGAGAGAUCGGAGUCGUGGUGAGCAGCAGCAAGGCCUUUGACAGAACAAGGAACCUGAUGGAACCAGGAAAAACGAAACAGAUCUAAAAUAAUGUGUGAAGACCUUGCUUGGAUACAGCAGAUGCCCGCCCUGAUGUGGAGCAAACGACAACCUUAUGAAGGCAGGUGACCUCUGUAUUCACCCUUUUUGCCUUUUAAAUAGAAAUGCCAUAGCCCACAUC